AUUGAACGCUGGCGGAAUGCUUUACACAUGCAAGUCGAACGGCAGCACGGACUUCGGUCUGGUGGCGAGUGGCGAACGGGUGAGUAACAUAUCGGAACGUAUCCAAUAAUGGGGGAUAACGAGUCGAAAGAUUCGCUAAUACCGCAUACGCCCUACGGGGGAAAGCUGGGGACCUUCGGGCCUGGCGUUAAUGGAGCGGCCGAUAUCUGGUUAGCUAGUUGGUGAGGAAAAGGCUCACCAAGGCGACGAGCAGUAGCUGGUCUGAGAGGACGACCAGCCACACGGGAACUGAGACACGGUCAAGACUCCGACGGGAGGCAGCAGGGGGAAAUUUUGGACAAGGGGCGAAAGCCUGAUCCAGCCAUUCCGCGUGAGGGAAGAAGGCCUUGGGGUUGAAAAGCUCUUUCGCAAGGGAAGAAAACUUAGCCACUAACAUUGGUUGAGGUUGAGGUUACCUUGAUAAGAAGCACCGGCUAACUACGUGCCAGCCGCCGCGGUAA
This 500-nucleotide ribosomal RNA is filed under the name uncultured bacterium. RNAcentral's name for it is "partial 16S ribosomal RNA". It matches the Rfam family "Bacterial small subunit ribosomal RNA", at positions 29 to 523 of the family's 1533-position model. The record is from RNAcentral.